UGUGCCUGAAAUCAUAAAAUGGCAGAGCCAGGAAGAGAGAUGAUCUAAUGUAACUUGUCAUUUUGCCAAAGGAGGAAACUGAGGUCCAGAGUGAGGAAGACACUUACAUAGAGUUUAUCAAGGGAGUGACAAAGCCAGGACUAGAUCUCAGAUGCCGUUUAUGUAUGACAAACUGUUUCCUCAACCCAGUUACGAUCUUCAGGAGUACAGAAGCUGAUCCAGAUGUAGCCCAAGAUUGCAAAAAGCAGAAAGGUGCAAAGGAUGGAACGCUGUCCCUAGGAUGAGGAGAUUUGGGUUUGAAUUCUGC
Vombatus ursinus (common wombat) is the source of this 307-nucleotide long non-coding RNA. RefSeq lists it as uncharacterized. The record is from RefSeq and is a predicted model, not a curated record. The transcript is spliced from 3 exons. Lineage: Eukaryota; Metazoa; Chordata; Mammalia; Diprotodontia; Vombatidae.